CUCCCUUCCGCCCCCGCGGGCUUGCAUUUGCGUCCGGCUGGAGACCGCGCGGGAGCCCGCCCCCGCGCCCCGCUGAUUGGCCGUGCCGGCCCGCUCGUCACACUCUUUUGUCUCAGUGGGCAGAGGAUAAAAGCCGCGGCGGCUGCCGUGGGAACCGCGCUGUCUGGACUCGACUACCCCUCGCUGGGAGGCGGUGCAGCCGCUCGGCUGGCAGCUCCCGGUCGCUGGGCGGCUGAGGCCGAGCCCGUCCCUCCUCCCCCUGCGGGGCUGCGGAGACGGGAAGGCGGUUGGCAAGGCCGGAACACAGGCCAUCAAAGCCGAAUCCGAACUUGAAUUCUGCGCGGCGGAUUGCAGACCUGUCUGGACGCUCCGAGGUCCCGGAUCUGCGACGCCCGGUGGACGGAGAUCGCCCGGAGCCCGGAGACGAGCGCUCCCACGGAGGCCACCAGUUGCAGAAGCUGGGAGUGAAAUAAAGGCGCGCGCGCCUGUUCCUGCGCUCCCCCCCUGCUGAGACAGGAGGAAGGCAGACCCCCCCUCCUCCCCGAGCACCUGCAGAUCAGGCUUUUCCACAAAGCCUGAGCAUCUCGUUAUACUCGGUCCCGCCGGCCCU
This 610-nucleotide long non-coding RNA is filed under the name Neogale vison (American mink). Its description in RNAcentral is "Neovison vison (American mink) lncRNA (ENSNVIG00000022238.1)". Lineage: Eukaryota; Metazoa; Chordata; Mammalia; Carnivora; Mustelidae. The record is from RNAcentral.